GACUCCGUGGCGCAACGGUAGCGCGUCUGACUCCAGAUCAGAAGGUUGUGCGUGUUCAAAUCACGUCGGGGUCA
Molecule: non-coding RNA, 74 nt
Organism: Uranotaenia lowii
Lineage: Eukaryota; Metazoa; Arthropoda; Insecta; Diptera; Culicidae
Source: the annotation of a RefSeq genome assembly